GAGUGGCGAACGGGUGAGUAACACGUGGGUAACCUGCCCAUCAGAAGGGGAUAACACUUGGAAACAGGUGCUAAUACCGUAUAACACUAUUUUCCGCAUGGAAGAAAGUUGAAAGGCGCUUUUGCGCCACUGAUGGAUGGACCCGCGGUGCAUUAGCUAGUUGGUGAGGUAACGGCUCACCAAGGCCACGAUGCAUAGCCGACCUGAGAGGGUGAUCGGCCACACUGGGACUGAGACACGGCCCAGACUCCUACGGGAGGCAGCAGUAGGGAAUCUUCGGCAAUGGACGAAAGUCUGACCGAGCAACGCCGUGUGAGUGAAGAAGGUUUUCGGAUCGUAAAACUCUGUUGUUAGAGAAGAACAAGGAUGAGAGUAAAACGUUCAUCCCUUGACGGUAUCUAACCAGAAAGCCACGGCUAACUACGUGCCAGCAGCCGCGGUAAUACGUAGGUGGCAAGCGUUGUCCGGAUUUAUUGGGCGUAAAGCGAGCGCAGGCGGUUUCUUAAGUCUGAUGUGAAAGCCCCCGGCUCAACCGGGGAGGGUCAUUGGAAACUGGGAGACUUGAGUGCAGAAGAGGAGAGUGGAAUUCCAUGUGUAGCGGUGAAAUGCGUAGAUAUAUGGAGGAACACCAGUGGCGAAGGCGGCUCUCUGGUCUGUAACUGACGCUGAGGCUCGAAAGCGUGGGGAGCGAACAGGAUUAGAUACCCUGGUAGUCCACGCCGUAAACGAUGAGUGCUAAGUGUUGGAGGGUUUCCGCCCUUCAGU
Molecule: ribosomal RNA, 765 nt
Filed under: uncultured bacterium
Lineage: Bacteria
Description: bacterial SSU rRNA
Rfam family: Bacterial small subunit ribosomal RNA
Source: RNAcentral